This 945-nucleotide ribosomal RNA is filed under the name Bacillus amyloliquefaciens. RNAcentral describes it as "bacterial SSU rRNA". It matches the Rfam family "Bacterial small subunit ribosomal RNA", at positions 56 to 983 of the family's 1533-position model. Lineage: Bacteria; Bacillati; Bacillota; Bacilli; Caryophanales; Bacillaceae. The record is from RNAcentral.
UGCAGUCGAGCGGACAGAUGGGAGCUUGCUCCCUGAUGUUAGCGGCGGACGGGUGAGUAACACGUGGGUAACCUGCCUGUAAGACUGGGAUAACUCCGGGAAACCGGGGCUAAUACCGGAUGCUUGUUUGAACCGCAUGGUUCAGACAUAAAAGGUGGCUUCGGCUACCACUUACAGAUGGACCCGCGGCGCAUUAGCUAGUUGGUGAGGUAACGGCUCACCAAGGCAACGAUGCGUAGCCGACCUGAGAGGGUGAUCGGCCACACUGGGACUGAGACACGGCCCAGACUCCUACGGGAGGCAGCAGUAGGGAAUCUUCCGCAAUGGACGAAAGUCUGACGGAGCAACGCCGCGUGAGUGAUGAAGGUUUUCGGAUCGUAAAGCUCUGUUGUUAGGGAAGAACAAGUGCCGUUCAAAUAGGGCGGCACCUUGACGGUACCUAACCAGAAAGCCACGGCUAACUACGUGCCAGCAGCCGCGGUAAUACGUAGGUGGCAAGCGUUGUCCGGAAUUAUUGGGCGUAAAGGGCUCGCAGGCGGUUUCUUAAGUCUGAUGUGAAAGCCCCCGGCUCAACCGGGGAGGGUCAUUGGAAACUGGGGAACUUGAGUGCAGAAGAGGAGAGUGGAAUUCCACGUGUAGCGGUGAAAUGCGUAGAGAUGUGGAGGAACACCAGUGGCGAAGGCGACUCUCUGGUCUGUAACUGACGCUGAGGAGCGAAAGCGUGGGGAGCGAACAGGAUUAGAUACCCUGGUAGUCCACGCCGUAAACGAUGAGUGCUAAGUGUUAGGGGGUUUCCGCCCCUUAGUGCUGCAGCUAACGCAUUAAGCACUCCGCCUGGGGAGUACGGUCGCAAGACUGAAACUCAAAGGAAUUGACGGGGGCCCGCACAAGCGGUGGAGCAUGUGGUUUAAUUCNAAGCAACGCGAAGAACCUUACCNGGUCUUG